AUGAUGUUGGUACCAAAGUUGCAGAUGAGUAUGUUGGUGCUGCCAGCAUACUUGAUGCCAAAUCAUCUGGUGUUGGUAUUGGUGGGAAUGAAAAUCUUUCUGAUUGUGAAGAUUUCCCGCCGGAAAAUUUUCUGCCUGGAGGGCUUGAUUACGGUGAUGCAUUGCAAGAUGCCUCUAGUGUCGUCACAAGAUCUUCCAUCGUCAAACCCUGAAACUGGAGAAGGUGCUAAUGUUGUUAAGGUUGAUUUGUUUUUCUUUGCUGUUACGAGGUUGUGCACGAACCAUGGGAAACAUGACAAGUCGAUGUUUCAAAAUAGAGAAUGUGAUGCCAGUGUUGGUUCUAUUGCUAAAGCGUUUGUCCCCACUGGCAUGCUCAACUCAGACAGUGUUGACAUUGUUUUAUAUUUUCUACGUCAGAAGUACCGAGACACUGAUAAGUUGAUAGUUCCGAGAUGGGUGACGCUUCUUUUCCCUACUUUUGAUCCGCCGUCAUUUGCGGCUGCCAUGAAGCCUACUGAAGAAUCUGGGCAUUGGUGCUUGAUUGUUCUGAAUUUGAGGUUCCGUCAUUUCGAGUGUCUUGAUUCACUCCGCGAUGAACCCUGGAGUGAUGUAGUUAGAUUCUUAAGGACUAUGACAGAUAGCAUAAAGAAGCUUUGGAGGGAGUCCAGCGUAUACAGGGCCAAACCAUUCUCACCGGCGCAUAUUGAUGGUUUCGCUUGCGAGUUUGUGCGGGUGCCGCAGCAGAAAAACACCCACGAAGGCAUUCUUGACAUUAGAAAGACUUUGUUGUAUAGCUGCGCAACUAGCGAUGUGUUUGAUGUUGACUUCCGGAGUUUGUUUGGUAUCGAACCCUGUGAGUGGCUGGAUCUUGGUGAGCAUGACUACAUUAUCUUUGGCAGCCAGUUCUCGGAAAGAUCUGGUGUUAUGAAGGGGCGGUUGGGAGCACUGAAAGGUUCUACGGCUGCUUGUGUAGAGAGCCCCUCUACACCCAAGAAUCCCAUUGUGGAAUUGAUAGACAGUGAUGAUGAUACGUUUGACAAGAUUGUUGGCAUGGGAAGAGUCACCAGGAGCGUUGCUGCCAAGGGUGUAUCUCCCCUUGCUGGAAUAGUGGCCCGUAGAGCUGGUGCUGCUAGGAAGGAUCCUGCUUUGGAUUCUAGCAAUGUUGUAAGCACGAAGCAUGCGCCCACAUCUCCUAUAAAGUUUUGCUCCCCUGUGCAGCAGCUUUAG
Molecule: ribosomal RNA, 1227 nt
Filed under: Triticum aestivum (bread wheat)
Lineage: Eukaryota; Viridiplantae; Streptophyta; Magnoliopsida; Poales; Poaceae
Description: partial small subunit ribosomal RNA
Source: RNAcentral